AUUGAACGCUGGCGGCAUGCCUUACACAUGCAAGUCGAACGGCAGCACGGGGCAACCUGGUGGCGAGUGGCGAACGGGUGAGUAAUGCAUCGGAACGUGCCAUUGAGUGGGGGAUAACGUAGCGAAAGUUGCGCUAAUACCGCAUAUUCUGUGAGCAGGAAAGCAGGGGGACCGCAAGGCCUUGCGCUCUUUGAGCGGCCGAUGUCAGAUUAGCUAGUUGGUGAGGUAACGGCUUACCAAGGCGACGAUCUGUAGCGGGUCUGAGAGGAUGAUCCGCCACACUGGAACUGAGACACGGUCCAGACUCCUACGGGAGGCAGCAGUGGGGAAUUUUGGACAAUGGGCGCAAGCCUGAUCCAGCCAUGCCGCGUGAGUGAAGAAGGCC
This 385-nucleotide ribosomal RNA is filed under the name uncultured bacterium. RNAcentral describes it as "bacterial SSU rRNA". It matches the Rfam family "Bacterial small subunit ribosomal RNA", at positions 30 to 416 of the family's 1533-position model. The record is from RNAcentral.